UACGUAGGGGGCAAGCGUUGUCCGGAAUCAUUGGGCGUAAAGAGCGUGUAGGCGGCCCGGUAAGUCCGCUGUGAAAGUCCAGGGCUCAACCCUGGGAUGCCGGUGGAUACUGUCGGGCUCGAGUCCGGAAGAGGAGUGUGGAAUUCCUGGUGUAGCGGUGAAAUGCGUAGAUAUCUGGAGGAACACCGGUGGCGAAGGCGGCAUCCUGGACCGGUAUUGACGCUGAGGCGCGAAAGCCAGGGUAGCAAACGGG
This 253-nucleotide ribosomal RNA is filed under the name uncultured bacterium. RNAcentral's name for it is "partial 16S ribosomal RNA". It matches the Rfam family "Bacterial small subunit ribosomal RNA", at positions 524 to 776 of the family's 1533-position model. The record is from RNAcentral.